CCCUUAGACGUUCUGGGCCGCACGCGCGCUACACUGACACAGGCAACGAGCUUUCCUUUACCGAAAGGUAUGGGUAAUCUUUUGAAACUGUGUCGUGCUGGGGAUAGAUCCUUGCAAUUUUUGAUCUUAAACGAGGAAUUCCUAGUAAGCGCGAGUCAUCAACUCGCGUUGAUUACGUCCCUGCCCUUUGUACACACCGCCCGUCGCUACUACCGAUUGAAUGGCUUAGUGAGGCCUCAGGAUCCGCGCUUAAUGUGCGGAGAAUUUGGACAAACUACGUCAUUUAGAGGAAGUAAAAGUCGUAACA
This 307-nucleotide ribosomal RNA is filed under the name uncultured eukaryote. Its description in RNAcentral is "partial 18S ribosomal RNA". It matches the Rfam family "Eukaryotic small subunit ribosomal RNA", at positions 1470 to 1796 of the family's 1831-position model. The record is from RNAcentral.